RNAcentral lists this ribosomal RNA (505 nucleotides) under uncultured bacterium. RNAcentral describes it as "partial 16S ribosomal RNA". It matches the Rfam family "Bacterial small subunit ribosomal RNA", at positions 28 to 507 of the family's 1533-position model. The record is from RNAcentral.
GACGAACGCUGGCGGCGUGCCUAAUACAUGCAAGUCGAACGCACAGUUUAUACUUUAGCUUGCUACACCAUAGACUGUGAGUUGCGAACGGGUGAGUAACGCGUAGGUAACCUGCCUGGUAGCGGGGGAUAACUAGUGGAAACGAUAGCUAAUACCGCAUAAUAUUGAUUAUUGCAUGAUAAUUGAUUGAAAGAUGCUAUUGCAUCACUACCAGUUGGCUCUGCGUUGUAUUAGCUAGUAGUCGAGGUAACGGCGCACCUAGGUGAGGAUACAUAGCCGACCGGCGAGGGCGGGCAGCCAGACUGGGACGGUGACACGGCACAGAGGGCUAGGGGAGGCGGCAGUAGGGAAUCGGGGGGAAAGGACGAGAGACUGACCGAGAAAGGCCGCAGGAGUGAAGAAGGAUGUCGGGUCGGAAAGCUCGGUUGUAAGGGAAGAAAGAGUGUUAGAGUGUGAAGUUCACACUGUGACGGUAUCUUACCAAGAAGCGACGGCUAACUACGUG